This 631-nucleotide ribosomal RNA is filed under the name uncultured bacterium. RNAcentral describes it as "bacterial SSU rRNA". It matches the Rfam family "Bacterial small subunit ribosomal RNA", at positions 64 to 735 of the family's 1533-position model. The record is from RNAcentral.
GCACGGGGUGGUUUCGGCCAUUCAGUGGCGGACGGGUGAGUAACGCGUAGGUAUCUAUCCUUGGGUGGGGGAUAACCGUGGGAAACUACGGCUAAUACCGCAUGAUGUCUGAGGACCAAAGGCGUAAGUCGCCUGGGGAGGAGCCUGCGUUCGAUUAGCUAGUUGGUGGGGUAAAGGCCUACCAAGGCGAUGAUCGAUAGCUGGUCUGAGAGGAUGAUCAGCCACACUGGGACUGAGACACGGCCCAGACUCCUACGGGAGGCAGCAGUGGGGAAUAUUGGACAAUGGGCGCAAGCCUGAUCCAGCAAUGCCGCAUGAGUGAAGAAGGUCUUCGGAUUGUAAAGCUCUUUCGGCGGGGACGAUGAUGACGGUACCCGCAGAAGAAGCCCCGGCUAACUUCGUGCCAGCAGCCGCGGUAAUACGAAGGGGGCUAGCGUUGCUCGGAAUGACUGGGCGUAAAGGGCGCGUAGGCGGUUUGGACAGUCAGAUGUGAAAUUCCCGGGCUUAACCUGGGGGCUGCAUUUGAGACGUCCAGGCUUGAGUGUGAGAGAGGGUUGUGGAAUUCCCAGUGUAGAGGUGAAAUUCGUAGAUAUUGGGAAGAACACCGGUGGCGAAGGCGGCAACCUGGCUC